CUAUUUAUUCUACUUUUCUUUUUUUUUUAAGGCAAACCUUUAUGUCAAAGCAACGGUUCUCUCUAACCUUCUCUUACUCGCCUUACUUGAAACCUGUCCAUUUUUCGUACUAAAAACUUCUCACCUCUGUGCCUUCUGUACUUCUCGGCUCAAGCAAGAGCCACAGUGACUGGAACAAGAGUAAAGCCACCUUAAUCAGUCAAGCAAGCAAUUUGAGGAAACCUGUCCACUUUUCCUACUAAACACUUCUCACCUCUAUGCCUUCUGCACUUCUCAGCUCAAGCAAGAGCCACAGUGACUCGAACAAGAGUAAAGCCACCUUAAUCAGUCAAGCAAGCAAUUUGAAUAUGGAUUAUGAACAGGCUCUUACCCGUUCCAUUUAUUAUUCUAAGGUCGAAUUGAAAGGUAGGUUUUGUCAGUGAUUAAAUGGAAAAACUUUUAGGCUAAUUAAAAGCCGAAACAAAGGAAAUUAAAACACUCCCUUCUUUCUUUUCUGUCGACAAUGAUGAAAACCAGAUCGAACUAUAAAGUAAUUUUACUUCAUUGUUCAAGCUUUUGAAUGCUUUCCUAUUCAAGACAUACUACCAAUUCCUUUGAAGCUACUACCACUACCGAAGCUGGCUUGUUUGUUUUGGUUACCGGUUGGGGUUUUGAAACCAGAGAAAGAAGAUCCGGUUGGACUUGCGCAUACUACCAGUUCCUUUGAACCUACUACCACUACCGAAGUUGGCUUGUUUGUUUUGGUUACCGGUUGGGGUUUUGAAACCAGAGAAAGAAGAUCCGGUUGGACUUGCUAGCGAUGGGAGAUUAGUCACCGGAAGACUUGCUGGCUUGCUCCUUCAAAAUAAGGUGGCUAAGACGGAUGGCCUAUUCCAAUAGCUGGCAGACGGGCUAUUACGCCUAUUCAACAUAUUCCGAUUGUGAUACAAUUCCAUUGCCUGCUCCUAUUCAUGUUCGUGCUUACUUGUAUGCCGAAACUUC
This 981-nucleotide long non-coding RNA is filed under the name Nicotiana benthamiana. Its description in RNAcentral is "long non-coding RNA (NBEN_LNC003351)". The record is from RNAcentral. Lineage: Eukaryota; Viridiplantae; Streptophyta; Magnoliopsida; Solanales; Solanaceae.